UGAGUGAACGCUGGCGGUAGGCCUAACACAUGCAAGUCGAACGGCAGCACAGGAGAGCUUGCUCUCUGGGUGGCGAGUGGCGGACGGGUGAGGAAUACAUCGGAAUCUACCUUUUCGUGGGGGAUAACGUAGGGAAACUUACGCUAAUACCGCAUAAGACCUUCGGGUGAAAGCCGGGGACCUUCGGGCCUGGCGCGGAUAGAUGAGCCGAUGUCGGAUUAGCUUGUUGGCGGGGUAAAAGCCCACCAAGGCGACGAUCCGUAGCUGGUCUGAGAGGAUGAUCAGCCACACUGGAACUGAGACACGGUCCAGACUCCUACGGGAGCAGCAGUGGGAAUAUUGGACAAUGGGCGCAAGCCUGAUCCAGCCAUACCGCGUGGGUGAAGAAGGCCUUCGGGCUGUAAAGCCCCUUUUGUUAGGGAAAAGAAAUCCCUAGCCCGAAUUUAAACUACUACAGUAAGGGAUGAACGUAACCCAAAGAAUAAGCACCGGCUAACUCGUGCCAGCAGCCG
Molecule: ribosomal RNA, 512 nt
Filed under: uncultured soil bacterium
Lineage: Bacteria
Description: bacterial SSU rRNA
Rfam family: Bacterial small subunit ribosomal RNA
Source: RNAcentral